ACGCGUUUCCGGUCAGGAGAUUAAGCAUGUGUACGGCGGUGGGUAUGAAGUCAGCAGUAACGUGAAAGAUGUGACGUGUUGCAGUGCAGUGUGUGUACAGAUUUUUGGGGGGAGUUUUUGACUGAGAAUAAAUGCAACAACUCCUCAAAAUCUAAAAGGAAACCCGAGCUAAGUUCCCAUGUCUUUCUUACAAUGCAGUUAAUUAUAAUUUAAGUUUAUAAUUGAAGAGGAUUAUUCCCGAUGUCAGCAUGUCGGCUCCGGCACUGUUUAACUGAAAGCAGGGUUAAAUAUUUUAUAAUUAACAUCCUUACAGCAUCCCUUCUUUUAGUCACAUUUUGAUUAGAUGAAAAAUUUGAUUGCUUUGCAAUCGUUACGGACGUUAAAGCAAUUAACCGCGGUUCAAUGUUUGAAUCGAUAAGACAGCCGUUUGCAUGUAGCCACUUCCUGCCCCUGGUCAUGGCCUCCUCUGUAAGUACGGAGUUGACGCCGUCGUGGACAGAAAACGCUUUCCCUUUUUGUCCCUUUUGAACUGUGUCCAUCUUUCAACUGGGCUCGGGGCAGUCGGGCGUGUGGAGUAACCGCUCGGUGAUUGUUGGAAUUACUGGCCAUGGUCAACCUGUUAGGAAAAGGUGGCCCAGCUUCAAUAUUUAGAGGUGAAGAUUGCACAAUUGCACAGAUCGAAAAUGAAUACAGAGAUUUGCCGCAGUAAAUAAUUGAUUGGUUCCAGACAAACUGAGAGCUCCCCGGAUAAGCUCCAGAGAGGACGAGGUCCCAGUUCUUUUGGUUUUUGUAUUACUCAUUUGGAUCUUUAAUACAGUAAGUUCAAAAGUGUAUCUAUAUAUACUGCACAGUUUGGAAGGGAUAAUAAGUGUCGUAAUGCAGGGGCUGGGGGCAAGUGCGGGUGAAAAGGUUAAGUGUAUUUGUUUAUGUACUCCUCUUGAUAAUGCUAUUAGCAGUGUCUGUGCAUGUAUUUUACAAGGAUGCUUAUGUUGCAUAAAGCCAUUGGAUGUUGACCGUUGUCACAAUGGAACGUUUCUCUUAGUACCACCUCACUGAUGUAUAAGUGGGACGUUUUCGACUGGGUCAGUGAGGAUGCAAGGUUACUUUUGAGGCCCUCUUUCGUUCUUGUCUGACUACUAAGGUCCUGUGUUGUGCGAUUUGUCAUCUCAUCCACCGAAUGAAUGGGUGAAUAAAACUGGGUGACUCAAGUAAAAUCAUAAACAAUUGACGACGUUGAUCUGCCAUAACAUCAUUUGUUAUUGUAAAAAGUUGCGCUCAGCUCGGCAGCUUAAAGACGAGUGGCGGGCGAGCGCUUCUCACUUGUUUCUGUCAAUAAAUGUCGAAACUUGCCACUGUGGGGGGGAGGACCCCCACAAGGAGGAUUGCCGCCUUGCUGCAUGUUAAUACACAUUUCACCCUAAAAUGAGUAUUCAUAGCCAUUCACAUUAACAUAUAUUCAACAAAGUCUAGCCAGCAGGAAAACAUGAAAACAUAUGUAUUAGUGAUGUGAUUGUAAUUAAACUUUUAUAUUGUGAUAAAGAAUGAACCCAGCCACCAUAUUGUGUGGUAAACUGCUAGCGGCCCGGGGGUCUGAAAUCUCUGCACAACACUAAAAUGGUCCAAAUAGUGUGAUCAUGAUUCCAAGAAAACAAUAAAUACAGUUCAUUUAUCUUGUUUUGAGUACAAAUCCUGAAUUGUUUACAUCAAAAAUGUAUUUGGACUGUUGGAGCUGCCAUUGAUUAAACUCCCUGAUGUGCUAACAGUAUUGAUUCAUGUAUCUAGAAUUCACAGGGUUGCAUUUAUUGUAAUCCACUAUGUGAAAAAUAAAGUUCUCUCUCCGCAGUAGUCUGCCGGCUGUGAUGAAUGAAACAUUGGAUUUUGGGUAGACUUUUGGCUGAGCUGUGGCCACAUGUAUAGAGAAGCACAACAGAAGUUUCCACAAAAAUAUAUUUAGAGGAGAAG
Molecule: long non-coding RNA, 1962 nt
Organism: Gasterosteus aculeatus aculeatus (three-spined stickleback)
Lineage: Eukaryota; Metazoa; Chordata; Actinopteri; Perciformes; Gasterosteidae
Source: Ensembl